Molecule: ribosomal RNA, 486 nt
Filed under: uncultured bacterium
Lineage: Bacteria
Description: partial 16S ribosomal RNA
Rfam family: Bacterial small subunit ribosomal RNA
Source: RNAcentral
AUUGAACGCUGGCGGCAUGCCUUACACAUGCAAGUCGAACGGCAGCACGGGUGCUUGCCCCUGGUGGCGAGUGGCGAACGGGUGAGUAAUACAUCGGAACAUGUCCUGUAGUGGGGGAUAGCCCGGCGAAAGCCGGAUUAAUACCGCAUACGAUCUACGGAUGAAAGCGGGGGCCCUUCGGGCCUCGCGCUAUAGGGUUGGCCGAUGGCUGAUUAGCUAGUUGGUGGGGUAAAGGCCUACCAAGGCGACGAUCAGUAGCCGGUCUGAGAGGACGACCAGCCACACUGGGACUGAGACACGGCCCAGACUCCUACGGGAGGCAGCAGUGGGGAAUUUUGCACAAUGGGCGAAAGCCUGACCCAGCAAUGCCGCGUGUGUGAAGAAGGCCUUCGGGUUGUAAAGCACUUUUGUCCGGAAAGAACUACUUUGCCCUAAUACAGUCGGGGGAUGACGGUACCGGAAGAAUAAGCCCCGGCUAACUACGUG